CCCUUAGAUGUUCUGGGCGGCCCGCGCACUACAAUGGCGUGUGCAGCGAGUGCCGAAGUAGAGUUUUCCGAGGUAUUCUUGCAAUGCUCGUUUUGAUGGGGAUAGACCCUUGCAACUGUUGGUUUUGAACGAGGAAUUCCUUGUAAGCAUGGUUUAUCAUCCGACGCUGAAUGCGUCCCUGCCCUUUGUACACACCGCCCGUCGCUCCUACCGAUUGAAUGGUCCGGUGAAAUCUUCGGAUUGAGACUUUGUUUUCUUCACGGAAAACGCUGUUUUAAAAAGUUGAUUAAACCUUACCAUUUAGAGGAAGGUGAAGUCGUAACA
RNAcentral lists this ribosomal RNA (324 nucleotides) under uncultured eukaryote. RNAcentral describes it as "partial 18S ribosomal RNA". It matches the Rfam family "Eukaryotic small subunit ribosomal RNA", at positions 1470 to 1796 of the family's 1831-position model. The record is from RNAcentral.